AAGAACAACGACGAUAUUGGAGUUGGGUACCCAUCACAGCCGAUGAAAAUAGAAGUAAGUUUGUGGGAUGGAGAUAGCUGGGCAACCGAUGGAGGCCGAACAAAGACUAAUUGGAGCAUGGCACCUUUCAAAGCCCAUUUCCAAGGAUUUGAUAUAAGUGGUUGCCCAAUAAUUCAGAACUCGAGCAACAUUCAACAAUGUUAUUCUCCCAAUUAUUGGUGGAAUUCAGAGAAAUAUUGGAAGUUAGACUCCAAGCAACAAGGAGAACUGCAAAAUGUAAGAAAGGAAUACAUGAACUAUGACUAUUGUUCGGAUAGGCCUAGAUACCCUGUUCCUCCUCCGGAGUGCCUUCAUCAAUAGCAGGCUAGAGUUCGUGGGGAUGGGUUAAUUUAAGUUGCUAUAUUAAAUAACAAUGCAGCUGAUGUAAUAAAAGAAAAUUUUAAAUUGUUCCACUUUAUAAAAUUAUUAUAGUUAUUUAUUAAUACUUUUUAAUAAUAAAUAUUUUCCCAUAAGUUAGGAAGUAGAUUAUUGUUACAUAUUCUACCAUGAAUUAGGAUCUAUUAUAGUUAGUAACAGCACAAGGUGACCAUUUCUCUCAUGGAAAACUCAUGCUUGAACUGAUCAAGUUACAAUAAAUUAACACAAAAAUACUUGAUUUUGGUUUUGAUUUGAUUGCUUCUUCUCUUUUACUAUAUUUUUCCCAUAAAACGAAAUUAAACAUAUCGAUGAAGACAAAUGAUAAAAAGUUUAUUACAACUAUCAAACAGUAAUAAAAAUUAAGGCAAUAUAAUAAAAUAAUAAAUUUUUUAAUUUUUAAUUUUUAAAUCGAUUAAUUCAUAUAGUUAUAUAAUAUUUUUGAUAUUCAAAUUCUAAGGUUUGUAAUUUCUUCUUAUACUCUUGUGCUAUCAUGUUACAAUCUCUUUAAAAAAUAAAUAAAUAAAUAAAUUUUCACCGGCCAAUUGCCUAAUUUAUAAAGUUGUCACAUGCUGAUUUGUUUUUAUUAUUCAUAAUCGAACGGGCUUAUAAAGCCCAAUCUACGAUCCAAGAACUCCAUCUGUAAUUGGCCGAAAAAAGAGAAAUUGUAUAAUUAAAAAGAAAAAAGUCUUCACCGAUCAGGUAAUUUUUUUGAAAGCUACGGGGACUGGGUAUUCCCAUGGCGGAUUUUCUAUAUCCAGUAGCAUAUUUUCAGUUUGCUACCCCAGUAAUGGCCCUUCUUCAAAGACCCUUUUUUGUGCUACUUCUUAUACUAACUCAUCAAUUCAUGCAAUGUUGGAUUGCUUUUGGAUCGGUCAAUGAAGAAGGAAAAAAACAAGAAGAAGAAUUCAAUGAGGAGCUACUAUUGAAGCCGUUGCCAGAUCGCAACGUGUUGGCCCAUUUCCAUUUUCGAAGCUCUGCCCCUCUUUCCACCACUUAUUUCCCAAAGCCAUUUCUCAAUUGGUACUUUUUUUAUUAGUUUAUUUUAUUUUUUCUUUUGGGUCACCGAGAAAUCUUACGCUUUUUUUUUUUUUGGUAUUUAUGUUCUUUCAUGUUGCUUUUGUUUAAAUGGAGUUAGAGAAAAGCUAGCUUAGCCAAGUCAGGUGGCUUUCUUCAGUUUCUGAAUCUAUCAGUAACUUAGAAAGGUGGUAGGAAAGCCCAAAACUUAAAUCUUUCCUUUGCUCUUCAUACAUUUAUUAGCAAAAUAUUUAAUCAUUGUGUGGUGUAAAGAGGAUUUUGGGUUUACUUGCUUUUGAUAUGCUUUGGUCUGUAUGUUGAUUUUUUAAGUUUAUCGUAAUGUUUGAAUAAAUAUUAAUAAAAUAAUAAAAAAAUAAUAUAUGUAUAAUUAUUUGGAUAAUUAAAAUUAAAAAAAAAAAUUUUUAUCAAUUAUUAUUUGGAUAAAUAAUAAAAAAAAGAAAAUGAUUCAUUAUAAUAAUUUUUUUAUUUAUAAUUUUUUAUUAUUUGUAAUUUUAAAAUAUUUUUGGAUAAUGAUAUAUUUGUUAUCUUAUUUAGCUUCAAAAUUAUUGUUAUAUCAGUGAUUUUUAAUCAAGUAAAACAUAAAGUUAUUUUACAAACAUGCAUUAAUGAAUUUUUUGAUCAUUAUCAAAACUUUAAUACACUAUUACUUUGACAAUAUAUUCAUAUAAAACUAUUAAAUAUAAAAAAUACAAUCAUAUGAAAACAUUACAUACUAAAGAAUUAUAUGUCCUUUUUGCACCAAACAAAAAGUAAUAAUAUAUUAUCAUAUAGUUGUCUAAUAUAAAUUUAUUUUAUCAAAAAGAGAUGAUUUUGAAAAAAUUAUAAGAAAAUUAUGAUGUGGUUUUGUUUUUUUUACUAAUUUUCUAGUAUUAAUAAAAAAAUAGAUAUAAUAAUCUUUUAAUAAAAAUAAAAUUUUUUUCAAUUUUCAUUUUUUUAGCUUUUUUUUAAAAAUUGAAAUAUUAAAAAAAUGAAGAUUACAAGAAAAAACAAAAGUUAUUGAGUUUUCACAUAUAUAUUUUUUUAAAUUAAAAAUUUAUCCAAACAAAAUUUUUUUUUCUGUUUUCAUUAUUAUUUUUUAUUUCUCUUUCUUUUUCUUUUCCUCUCCUUAAUCGAAUCAUACAGUAAGGAUCAGGUUAAGUAGGGAGUAAGGACUAUGGACUGGAGUUGUCAACUCAGGCUGAGUCAAUUUAAGUAGUUAGUGGACUGCAUCAAGUUACCAAAUAAUCGGGAUUUAAAAUUUUGAUUUAUUAGCUUUUGUUUCAUGAUGAAAAAUAGAUGCAUUAUAAGGUUAAAUCUUAUCAUUAUUGUCUUUGGAGCACUCAGCUUGGCCUGAGUCAAUUAAGGUAGGUCAUACAGGCUCUUUUUUUCUUUAAAGCCUUCUAUUAGCUUAUUUACAUAAAAAAUAUCAUUCAACCUAUCUCUGCAUUUUCCUAAUCAAGUUAUGAUUAGUUCAUUGUUUUCCGCAUUCAUAAAUAUACAUGAGAAUGAAAUGUUCUUAUGAACUCAUCCAACCUUUUCAGCAAUGUUAUGUCUGACAUGAAGUACAAAAUUGGCUACAAGUUUACCUGAAAAAUAUUAUGCACGAAUUGUGUAUGUCUUGCAUUAAUUUGUCUAUCUCUCUUUGUGUAAGGUAAAGAUAAGAGUCUUGAUAAACUUCCCAUUGUAGAUUUUACAAAGCGAGGAUCAGUACCCUUCUUAGGAGAAGAUGAAUAAACAUUCCUGCUCAUAUUUGGAAGAGGAACCUCCCACCGGCAUUGCAUUGGUGUAAUCAGGACAUAGAAUCAACGAACAGUCAAUGAUAAACCAUAAUGAAACAUAUAACCAACGAAUUGCUAUAACCUAAUGGAAAAGUGGUUGAUAUGGAACUGACUUAAAAAUGAGAAACGGGGUAGCCGUCAUGGAAAGCUAAGAUUCAUAAUAGGUUAGGGAAAAAGGAUGCCUUUUAAAUGAUACAGCUGUCUAAUCUUUUAAUGUUUACUGCAGUAUUUUUUAUUUCUACAUUUCGAGUAUUUCACAAACACCUUCUACCCCUCUCUCAUGUACAUACAUCUUAUUCAUCCAAAUCUAUUUGCCAUAUUGCAGAACCGAAUUCUAAUCUUUCCAUAACAUUCUACUUAACUUCCAUCAUUUACUUCAGCGUUUUACAUUACAUGACUGUUAAUAUUAGAAAUAUUCCAAAUAUUUCCUGAUUGUUGAAACCUCAAAAUGACAUCCAAUAUCAACAUAAUUGUUCUUUGGAUUAUUAUCCAAUCCGCUGCUAGUGCAGUGCAAACGCUCCACAAGCAGGAUUGUUUGAUGCAAUGCUUCCGUUUAACAAAAUGGACAUAGAAUUAGGAAGUUAACCUAACCGCUAAGUAAGGCAUGAAAAUUGAACAACCCCUUGAAGAGCUUUUGUGUUCUAAUAUUGUUGUAUAAGAUAAUGAUGUAUAUUCUUUUAUGACUAAGUCCUAAAGGAUGAUAGGAAAAGAAUAACGAAGAAAAGUUUGAAUACAAAGUCUUGACAACUAAUGCAGAUGUCUUACACUUCCAAAGAUCCAUUUCCCAGUAAGACAGCCAGAUAGCCCAUCCGUUGGUUGCAUUUAGAAUCAUUUAUAUCAUAAGGCUUCCAUUUUACAUCCCAAGCAACUUUUCCAUUGUGAGCUAGAAAGAGGACAGCUCUUGGCAGUGCAAUGUCACCUGGAAUAGAAGAACCGGGGCUGAACUCGAACGAAUUACUAUCUAAAAGAUUAUUCGGCACAGUAGCAUCCUGCCAGAGUUGUAACAAAUUUGUUGGUUUAUUGUCAAUGAAGAUUCUGUUUCUUCAUUUUGAGUCAAUAAUGGGAGGCAUUUACCAUCACUAAUAGUUUUUUGCUCGUGCCUUACUUUUCAAUUUUCUACUUUCCACAGAUGUAUUAGGGGCUGCAUCAGAUGAAAAUGCUGCCUCUUUGUCACCUUUUUGUUUUUUAUGAUGAUUCUUAUCUGAAACAUUUUCUUGCGUAUUUCCAGGAGCGUUGUCUAUUGCAACUGGCUCAAAGGAACCUUCUGGGUACUGAACAGGAAGAGGUUGGAAAGGCUCGUCAUUCUAAUUGCUGUUAGGAGAUUCACCAAUUGAUUUGUUUGUAGGUCUACCUGUUGGCCUCUUAACCUGAUCUAGUUGAGAUUCAACUAUUGGUUUCUUUCCAGGUCUUCCUCUAGGCCUCUUUGACGAGCUCUCCCCCAUGGCCUUUGUAUUUUGAGAUCUCCGUUUUGGCUUUUUCUUUAACAGAGGAGCUUCUUCCUCAUUCACCCCAACAUUUAGCAUACACCAUAUUUGAAUGAUGCCUCUACCAGUAAGUGGGGUGCCCAUCUUGUGAUAAUAAGAUUCAGGAGGAUGAGCAGCGACAGCAAUGAACUGGGAAAAAGAAGGCAAAAAAAGAAAAAGACAAAACAAGGACAGCCUCGCAAGAUUGCAGCAUUAAGAUGGUGAUAAUUAUUAUUAAAAAUCCUACUUAUUAAGCAUGCAGGCAAUAUUUUAAACCACUGUUUCAGAACAAAUCUAGGCUUUUGUCUCUUUCAUUUGAAAUAACCAAGUAGAUAGAGGUUUGGGCUAUAAUGAUAAAUUGAAGGUGGAAUACACGAAAAAAAAAAAAAAAGAAUAAAAGGUUCCCAGAAGUGGGUUAGGGAUUUGGGAGGGGAGAAGUGGGGAAGUACCUCACAUUUGACAGGACUGUUAGGAUUCUCAUGAACUCUAGGACACCAUUAAUCUAAUGCCCAAACAGACCCUCCAACAUACAUCACGAAGUCCUUGCUGCAAGAUGAUUGUACUUUAAUCAUGUCAUUCAAUAAAUGUAUAAAACAUACCAUUUUGCAGCGGUGUUGGCUUCACAAAUAAAAAUAUUUGGGUGCCCAUACACAGAUCUUAAAUAAGAGGAGCAAUAAUAACACCAAGUUCUUAUCUUAUAACAUGUAUAUGCAUCACAGAUCAACAAGAGCAAACACCAUCCAUAACAUGUUGUUCAUAAGAGUUAAAAUUUUUUAAACAAAGGAGGAAUCCUGUAGGAUAGCAGAACUUUUAUGGUCAAGAAUAAAACUAAGACCUUUUCCAAACCCACAGUACACCAUCCUUUUACCACCUAAACCCAAUAACAUUGGAAACUGAAAUUGCUCCAACCAAAAUCCAAUCUAACAUGGAUUCUGGAGAUGCAUUACUUACUCGUAGUCCUUCCUGCUGCUUCCAUAAGAAAAAAAGAAAGAAAAAAAAGAAAAAAAAAACAACAAUGAGUAUUAACAGAAUAUUAUGCUAUAACAAGUAAAAACUAUUCCAGAAGAUUUAUGCAGUCAUUGAACAUUCCUCCAUGUGAGGGACCCAAAAUAAAAAGAUUUUCUUUCACCUUGGGAACAGUUGCUGAUGAAAACUGAGGCAAGUUUAUGCCACCAGAAACAUCUUUACCCGGUGAGUCUCCUAGUUCGCUAGCAAACCCAAUGAUCCUCGGUUCAUAAUUAAAAUGCCUCCAUUCCCUAAAAGCAUGUUUAAUAGUAAAUUAAGAACUUGUACAUGUCUAUAUUGGACAGAUAAAACUAACAUAAAAAAAAAAAAAUACCCGACGUACAUCAGCAAAGUCAAUUCAAUCGCAUUUGGAAGUUCUAAAUGCACAAAGAUGAGCAUAAAGUUACCUUAAGAAAGUGAUUGAAGAAGAGAAUCUCCGGAUAUCAGUUUCAUCGAGACCAUCAAUCUUGGGUUCUUCACAAAUCUAGAGAUUGUAUCCAUUACCCUAAAAUGUUUCUCGAUUGAAUAACCAAAUAUAGAGAACCUAACUCCAGAAUCACCAUUAAAUGGUGGUUCUUCCAUUUUUCUGUUUCUUUUUUCCUACAUGUAACACAUCUGUUCGUCAAUCACUCAAAUAUGAGACAUAUAAUGCUAGAGAAGUUUUUUUUUUUCUGUUAGUAGGAGAACAAACGUCCGUAUAAAGGAAAGAAAGACAGCGGAAUUAGAACCUACGUCCAUAAGUCUUUUUUAAAAUCUCUUAAUCAUUACAUCAAAAGAAAAGACAUAUAAUGUUAGAGAGUUGAUUAUAAGAAAUAAAACGUAAACUAUAACUGAAUGCUAAAUUUGAUACUUUAACUUAAAAAAAAAUUCAAUUCAAAAAAUUGUUGGAGCCUAACUCUGAGUUGCAAUCAACAAUAUAACUUAAUUUAAACAAAAUAAAUGUAAUAUGGAACAUCACAUUUAAUAAUAAUUACGACGCAUUAACUUGAAAUUCUUUCUAAACCUUUUUCAUCAGUAAACUUAAGUUUUUCCCUCUUAACCAAAAACAACAAAAAAUAAAAUAAAAUAAAAUCCAUGAAUUUCACAUAUUUUUCCUCUCAAAAUUUCGUGACCCAAACAUACCAGUAGGCAACGAUAAUUAGCUCAGAUGACCUGAUUUUAUUUCAAAGCAGACAGAUAAUAUAUGUGCCUCUAAAUGAUGAAAAUUAAAGGUAUUAUAUUUAAAGACAAAUAUGAUUUAUGCCUUAAAUCCAUUAUUUUAAAAAUUAAUAUUUAUGUGUAGCUUAUUCUUUGCCUUUAAUUAUUGGUUUUGUUGUAGUGUAUAAAAAAUAAUGUAUAUUAUAAUUUGAGUUAUAAUCGACUAAGUUUGGGCUUUGAAUGCUAGUCUCAAGUUUCAAUUUACAUUUUAAAAGAACUCGAAGACGUCAAAGGAUAGAGUAUGGGGCAGGUAGAAUAUUUUUCUUUUUUAUUCUCAAAUUUUUAUAUUAUAUUAAUUCUUAUAUCUAUAUUCAAUGAAAAUUUUAAAUUUAUUCACAUUUUUACCUACGAAAAUAUUUAAUUGAUGCAAAUAAUUCUUAUACUCUUAGCUUUUUUAAAAAAUAAAUUUUACCUUUUAAUUUAUUUUAAUUUUUAUCUUACAUAUUCAUAUAAUUUUUUUAUAAAUAUAUUAAUAUAUAUUUAAAAUAAAAUAUAUGUUAAUUUUAAUUAAUCAAAAAUAAAAUUUUAUAUUAUUUAAUAAUAAAUUUAUUUACUAAAUAUAUAGGCAACGGGUACAAAAUAUGUGCUAUAUUACUUGUCUCUAUCCUUGUAUCAAAUAAAAAAUUUUAAAUCAUAUUUAUGCCAUUCUUAAAAUUUAAUACCCAUUUUAAUCCCAUUGGGUAAAAAGUUAGAUUUUCUAUCUGAUAUGGAUAAAAUUAAUAUCCUUAAAUGAGUUUAAUGUUUUACACAAAUCUAUUUAAUGGGUUUAAUAUUUUUGUUUAAACCUUCAAAAAUAUUGAAUGAGCCCUCAAAACUUGAAUGGAUAACUUGACCAUUGGAUAAAUCUAUCAAAAUAUUUAACAUUUUUAUAAAUGUAAAACAAAACAAAAACAAAAAUAAUCGUAAAUAUAAUUUGAGUUUAAAUUUAUAAAUAAUAUGGAUGGUAGUACUUACAAGAGUAAGGAUACAGUUAUAAUGGUGUAAGUUUUACAUUUUUUUUAUAUCAAAAUUAAAUUUAUGUAUUAAAAUAAUAUUUAAUCUCAACCACUUUGAUCUAAUAAUAAAAAAAAAAAUGUAAAACUUAUAUUAACACAAGUGGAUCGCUCAUCUUACCUAUAAUGGUAUACAAUGAAAGACUCUCUCUAAAUUUUUAAUUAUCCACUUGAUAUUUUGCAAAUAAAUUUGUUGAACUUCAAAAUUCCUUCACUGAAUAAGGAAAUAAUCCAAUUGAAUUGCAUUCAAUUUACAUUCAUUGAAUAUGAAUGGUACAACAAAACCAAGUCCUAAUCCCCAUUUCUUAUCGAAUUAACCUAUUUACUUGCCGUCAAAGACUUUUUUUGUAUUAGAAAUUUUCGAAAAGAAGUUGACAAAUUUCACAAGUAAGACAUUAAAAGACAUUAAAUAAAGAUUUAAUUGAAAAAAAUAAAAAUAAAAAAUAGAAAGACAUGAUGAUUUGUUUGGAGUAAGAUGAUGGGUUUAUAGCAUUCAAAAAUUCAGUUUGAUAAUUACUCAUGAUGACGAGUAAAAAAAAUGUUUGGUAGGUUUCUCCUUUAUAUAGUUAUCUUAUAGAAAUGUCAAGUAAUCUGUAAGCUUCCAUAUAAAGUAGGCAGGUUUCUCUUUUAUCUAGUUAUCUUAUAGAAAUGUCAAGUAAUCUGUAAACUUCCAUAUAAAGUAGGUAGGUCUCCCUUUUAUCUAGUUAUCUUAUAGAAAUGUCAAGUAAUCUAUAAACUUGCAUAUAAGGUUUUGAUUGUGAGAUUGAUAUAAUAAAUUCAAAUAAAUAAUAUAAUCAAAAUAUUCUAUUUCUAAAAUGAACCUGCCCUGUUUUAAGAGAAAUGGCCAAUUAAUUGAACUAUAGAAGGCAACCAAAUCGACUUACUCUUUUCCUUUCAUGCAUGAAUCUAAGACUAUUGCUAUCUAUAUAAGAGACUUGUGAUCAGAUCACUAACAUGCAAGUAAAUUAUAACAAUCGCUUUUAUUUUUUUUUUAGUGAAUAUAUGAUAAGAAGUUCAUUAAAACUUCCAAUUAUUUACAAGAAGAAAUACAAAGAUAUGGCUAUGGAAAAGAGGUUUUCUCCUUUUGCAAUUUCUUAUUCAUAUUAUUGUUUCAGACAUAUAUAUAUUUCAUGAUGAUUUUACUGUUGGAUUUUCUUUUUUAGUAGUCAUCAACCUAAUUAAUAAAUAAAUAUGGAAUUGGACAGGUUCUUCUUCGGUCUUCUCAUUGCAGCUAUAGUAAGUGCAAUCAGAGCAGGUGAUGUUAGUUUUGAUAAGAAUUAUCACGUCACAUGGGGAAACUCUCAUGUGACUUCUCUAAACCAAGGAAGAGAAAUUCAUCUUUUAAUGGAUAAUACUUCAGGUUCGAUACAUGAAAACAACUAACUUAUACAUUUGCAUGCAUGUAUAAACGUAUUUAAAAAAGACACGUGCAUAUAUAUAAUCACUCGUAGCUAAACUUUUAAUAUAUGAAAAUGUAAAUUAAAAAACAAAGAAUCACUAAUGGUGGUUAUAUGAAUGCAGGGGCUGGGUUCCAGUCCAAUGUCGGGUAUGCUUCAGGGUUUUUCCAAAUGAAAAUAAAGACACCCAACAAGGAUUCUACUGGAGCUGUUACAACUUUUUAUGUACAUAUAUCUUUUUCUGUACUUUAAAAAAAAAUUCCUGUCUUCUCUAACAUGUAUUAGUUAAAGUAUAAUUUAAUGAACAUUUUGGUGGGUUGAUGGCAUGUAUGCAGUUGACCUCAAAUCCACAAAACACAGGAAACCAUGACGAGCUAGAUUUUGAGUUUUUGGGUAGCAAGGGUCCUCCUUUUACAUUGCAAACAAAUGUUUUCGCUAAUGAUAGAGGAGGCCGAGAGCAAAGGAUUCAUCUUUGGUUUGAUCCCACUGCUGAUUUUCAUACUUACGGAAUUCUUUGGAAUCAGCAUCAAAUAGUGUAAGCAAAAACUAUUCUCUUUAAACUAAUUUGAUUCUAAUUUAACUAGUUACAACAUUGCUUUGAAGUCCUUGGUUUUAUGUUUUGUGCAGGGUUCAUGCAUGGAAAUUAACAUUUCUAAUUUAAGUCUCUUAAAAAUAAUUUGAUUCUUUAACCCUAGUUUUCUUGCCUUUUCAGGUUUUAUGUGGAUAAUACACCCAUAAGAGUUUUCAAGAACAAUACAAAUAUCGGAGUAAAUUAUCCUUCACAACAAUUAGUGAUUCAAGGAAGCCUAUGGAAUGGAGAAGGUUGGGCAUCGGGUGGAAGAAAAAUUGAUUGGAGUCAAGCUCCAUUUAUAGCCAGUUUUCAAGGGUUCAACGUGGAUGGUUGUCAAUUCCACGACACUGCGACCAAAGCGCAAUGCUAUAAUUCUAACUUGUGGUGGAAUGGAAACAAAUAUUUGGAACUAGACCCUGCUCAGCACAAAGCAUUACAGUAUGCAAGAACCAAGUACAUGUUUCAAGACUACUGCACUUCUCCAAGUGGGAGGUACCAUAAAGAAUGCGGAAGUAAUAAAUAAAUGAAGAGAUAAAUAUGUAAAAAUUUCUGCUUAGUUGGAUUGUUUUAUAUGCAAUAUAUAGAUAGCAAAUAAAUUAGAAUAUUUUCAUUAAAAAAUUAUAAACAUUGGUAUUCUUAUCCUUGUACAAAAAUGGAAAUUAUCAUGUUUAUGCCCUUUAAAAAAAAAACAAAAUAAUAAAUAAACCAAACAAAUGUCAAAUUUGUUGGGUAUUUCAAUUUCAAAGUCAAUCCCAAAGUUGCUUUUCCAAUCACAAAUGAGAAUGACGUCAAGCCCAUCCUUCUGGGCCCACAAUGCGGUGCUAUAAAGGCACUUUCACGGAGUUGGGUAUCUUCUCCAUGAUGGUUGGAUCCGACAAGCCACAAUUUAUGAACUUUGUUAGAAGGAAAGGGUCGUUCAAUAAAUUGGUAAGUGAGGUAAACGAUCAAUUCAAAGCCUAUCCAAUAAAAGAUUUUAUAUUUCGUUCAAAAAAAUUUAUAAAAAUACUUAGAGCACCAAAACUAAAAAGCGCACAUGAACAUGUGGAGGUUAGAAAAGUUCUUUCUUGCACUGCUGUGCAACAUGUUUGUCUUUGUUUUCCCACGCUUCCAACUUUCUCUUCUGAAGCCCAACCCGUGUUUGUUAUUUUCCAAAGAUGAACCUUUAGGUACUCUCUCUCAGCCUUGCUGUUCCAAUGUAAAAGGAGUCUCCUCCUAUAUAUAAAAUGCUUAUUUGAUUUGGUUUGCGCAACCGUGUCACCCUCAAAAUGAUUUUAUAUUGAUUCGGUUGGCUUUAAUUUGAUGCCAUCGUCAUAGCACAUGGAAAUCGAUUUAUUUGUGUUUAGUCAUACAUUUACCAUUCGUGAAGAAUUCAACUUUCUUGGUUGUUUUUUUUAAUUUAAAGCCAAAUUAAUCUUGAGAUUGUUUCUGACGUCUGGAUUAAUUAGGCGCACACAAAUACAAUUUAUUGCGUUUGUUUGUUUCAAGAGUGAUAAAAUAGGUUUAUAUGCACCAAAAAUCAAAAUGUUUUUUUUAUAUACUCAACUUUUAUUCCUAAAGUAAAUAAUUGGUAAACAUGAUUCAAACUUUGAAAAACUGACUUAAUUCAUUAAAUUUAAAAUCGAACCUAAUUUAAUUUGAUUAAAAAAAUCAUCGACAUAAAUCUAUUUAACUCAAUUUUAAAAUAACUCUCAAGUUUAAAUUCAAAGUAACUUAAAAUUGAGAUGAUUUAAACUUAAAAAUAAAUCAAAAUGAUUUAUUUCAAACUCGCUUAAUUACCAUACCUCUUUAGGAUCUUUUGAACUUUGUGACUUCAAACUUGGGGGUUGUUAAUUCUUCAAGUUAAGGAAAAAGAAACAGAUUAAUGUGUUAGUCCUCCACAAUCAUUUGUAGUUUGAAGUUGCUUCCAAUUGUUCAAAGCAGUGCUAGAUAGAAUACGUGUAAGAGGUUUGUUGUAUGCGGAUAACAAUGAAGAAGUCAAUAGCGUGUAAGGAAGUUGGAUCAAAUGGUGAUACCUUAUACUUUUCUUUUCUUUUUUGGCUUUUUUCAUGGAUAGAUCUUAGUUGGGAAGCUGGCAGAUCAAAACAUCGAUCCCUAUAUAAACUCACUAAAUGAUAAUGCAGUCGUUACUAAAGAUAUGGAAAUGCAAUAUUUUUCCCUGCAGCUAUGUUUACUUUCAUCAAUAUUUUUCCUUCUUGGCUGCUGCAGCCUGUUUGCAAACACUACUGAUAUUGUUAGAUUUGAUGAAAACUAUGAAAUUACAUGGGGAAGUGAUCAUGUUUUGUCUUUAAAUCAAGGAAGUGAAAUUCAGCUCUCAAUGGAUAUCUCUUCCGGUUAUCUUCUUUCUCUCCUAACACUCACUUAAUAGCUAUAAAUACAAUAUAAUUUAUGGUACAGAACAUUAUGCAUGCUUUUUUUUUUUUUUACUUUUUAUUUUUUUUAAAGAAAAAAAGACAUAUUUUUCAUUUGACUUAGUUGAAAAUUAUGUCACAUGGUUUAUACCAUCUUAGAGAAUCUUUUCUUUUUCUUAAAAAAUCUUAAAUAUCAAUAUUUAUAUGAUACGUUUAUAGAGUACUAAAUUAUUAAUUUCAAUAAUCAAAAUUUAAUUUUUAAUAACUUUAAAUUAAUAUAUUAAAAAUAUUUAAACCCUAAUCAUUAAUAAGAAUCUAACACUAUAUGAAUAGAUACUAUCAUUGUUAUCACUUAUAGAGGAUUGAUUUAAUCCACUGUUCUAUCUUGAAGUGCGGAAUAUUGAGGUGUUUUAAAAUGUGGUGGAAUUAUUAAAAAAAAAAAACCAAUUACCAAAUAAAUCUUUGUGAUAUUCCCACUAUAUUUAACUUCUUCAUUUUUUUUUGUCACUAUUGUUUAUUGAAGAAAUUAAAAAUGAUCAAUUACAGGAGCUGGGUUUGGGUCGAAGCUGAGUUAUGUUAGUGGGUUUUUUCAUUUGAGGAUAAAGCUACCCAAUAAGGAUUCUGCUGGAGUUGUUACUGCUUUUUACGUAAAAUAUCUUUCAUUUCUGUUUAAUUUCCUCUUGAAUUUACCAAUAUUCUUAUUGAUUAUUUGUAAUGACAAUUAACAGCUGACAUCAAAAGGCAAGAGGCAUGACGAGCUGGAUUUUGAGUUCUUAGGUAAUAGAGAAGGCAAGCCGAUUAGCUUGCAAACCAAUGUGUUCGCAGAUGGUGUUGGGAAUAGAGAGCAAAGGUUUCUUCUCUGGUUUGAUCCUACUGCAGAUUUCCACGAUUACCAAAUUCUUUGGAACCAACACCAAAUUGUGUACGAAUAAUCUCCCCUUCUCCUUUUUCUGCAUUGCAUGCCUUAAUUAAUAUGAUUAUUUUCGCAUCAAUAAUUUUGUGAAAAUAUAUUUUUUUGAAUUUAAAAUUUAAUUAAAUUAAUUUAUGUACUCAUUUUUAAACCAUGAAAUCCAAUGAAUUUAAUAAUUAAAUAAAAACAUCUAUAAUUUUUUAUUUAUCAUCAAAUUACGCUUACGACUGAUUAUACCAUUAUAUUUGAAAUAUAUAUGGUUUUAAUUAAAUGUGAUGAGAACCUUUUCUCACUGCACUGAAUUGCCUAUCAAAAUGGACACUAUAUAUAUAUAACUAUAUGUAUAGGUAUAUUUAUGCAUAUGGAUGCCUGUGUUUACAGAUUCUACGUGGACGACAUCCCCAUCAGGGUGUUCAAGAACAACGACGAUAUUGGAGUUGGGUACCCAUCACAGCCGAUGAAAAUAGAAGUAAGUUUGUGGGAUGGAGAUAGCUGGGCAACCGAUGGAGGCCGAACAAAGACUAAUUGGAGCAUGGCACCUUUCAAAGCCCAUUUCCAAGGAUUUGAUAUAAGUGGUUGCCCAAUAAUUCAGAACUCGAGCAAUAUUCAACAAUGUUAUUCUCCCAAUUAUUGGUGGAAUUCAGAGAAAUAUUGGAAGUUAGACUCCAAGCAACAAGGAGAACUGCAAAAUGUAAGAAAGGAAUACAUGAACUAUGACUAUUGUUCGGAUAGGCCUAGAUACCCUGUUCCUCCUCCGGAGUGCCUUCAUCAAUAGCAGGCUAGAGUUCGUGGGGAUGGGUUAAUUUAAGUUGCUAUAUUAUUAAAUAACAAUGCAGCUGAUGUAAUAAAAGAAAAUGUUAAAUUGUUCGACUUUAUAAAAUUAUUAUAGUUAUUUUUUAAUACUUUUUAAUAAUACAUAUUUACCCAUUAUUAUUGUUACAUAUUCUACCAUGAAUUAGGAUCUAUUAUAGUUAGUAACAGCACAAGGUGACCAUUUCUCUCAUGGAAAACUCAUGCUUGAACCGAUCAAGUUACAAUAAAUUAACACAAAAAUACUUGAUUUUGGUUUUGAUUUGAUUGCUUCUUCUCUUUUACUAUAUUUUUCCCAUAAAACGAAAUUAAACAUAUCGAUGAAGAGAAAUGAUAAAAAGUUUAUUACAAUUAUCAAACAGUAAUAAAAAUUAAGGCAAUAUAAUAAAAUAAUAAAUUUUUAAAUUUUUAAUUUUUAAAUCGAUUAAUUCAUAUAAUUAUAUAAUAUUUUUUAUAUUCAAAUUCUAAGGUUUGUAAUUUCUUCUUAUACUCCUAUGCUAUCAUGUUACAAUCUCUUUAAAAAAUAAAUAAAUAAAUAAAUUUUCACCGGCCAAUUGCCUAAUUUAUAGAGUUGUCACAUGCUGAUUUGUUUUUAUUAUUCUAUAAUCGAACGGGCUUAUAAAGCCCAAUCCACGAUCCAAGAACUCCAUCUGUAAUUGGCCGAAAAAAGAGAAAUUGUAUAAUUAAAAAGAAAAAAGUCUUCACUGAUCAGGUAAUUUUUUUGAAAGCUACGGGGAAUGGGUAUUCCCAUGGCGGAUUUUCUAUAUCCAGUAGCAUAUUUUCAGUUUGCUACCCAGUAAUGGCCCUUCUUCAAAGACCCUUUUUUGUGCUACUUCUUAUACUAACUCAUCAAUUCAUGCAAUGUUGGAUUGCUUUUGGAUCGGUCAAUGAAGAAGGCAAAAAAACAAGAAGAAGAAUUCAAUGAGGAACUACUAUUGAAGCCGUUGCCAGAUCGCAAAGUGUUGGCCCAUUUCCAUUUUCGAAGCUCUGCCUCUCUUUCCACCUCUAAUGGCGGCCACCACCACUUAUUUCCCAAAGCCAUUUCUCAAUUGGUACUUUUUUAUUAUUUUAUUUUAUUUUUUCUUUUGGGUCACCGAGAAAUCUUAGGCUUUUUUUUUUUUUUUUGUAUUUAUGUUCUUUCAUGUUGCUUUUGUUUAAAUGGAGUUAGAGAAAAGUUAGCUUAGCCAAGUCAGGUGGCUUUCUUCAGUUUCUGAAUCUAUUAGUAACUUAGAAAGGUGGUAGGAAAGCCCAAGACUUAAAUCUUUCCUUUGCUCUUCAUACAUUUAUUAGCAAAAUAUUUAAUCAUUGUGUGGUGUAAAGAUGAUUUUGGGUUUACUUGCUUUUGAUCUGCUUUUGUGAAUGUUGAUUUUUUAAGUUUAACCUAAUGUUUGAAUAAAUAGUAAUAAAAUAAUAAAAAAAUAAUAUAUGUAUCAUUAUUUGGAUAAUUAAAAUUAAAAAAAAAAUUUUAUCAAUUAUUAUUUGGAUAAAUAAUAAUAAAAAAAUGAUUCAUUAUAAUAAUUUUUUUAUUUAUAACUUUUUAUUAUUUGUAAUUUUAAAAUAUUUUUGGAUUAUGAUACGUUUGUUAUCUUAUUUAACCUCAAAAUUACUGUUAUAUCAAUGAUUUUUAAUCAAGUGAGACAUAAAAUUAUUUUACAAAUAUGCAUUAAUGAAUUUUUUGAUCAUUGUCAAAAUUUCAACCACAAACAACAUUUCACAUAUUUUCCCUUUGAAAAUUUCGUGACCCAAACAUACCAGUAGGCAACGAUAAUUAGCAGACAGAUAAUAUAUGUGCCUCUAAAUGAUGAAAAUUAAAAGCAUAAUAAUAUUAUAACGUAACGUUUGAAUAAAUAUUAAUAAAAUAAUAAAAAAUAAUAUACAUAAUUAUUUGAAUAAUUAAAAUUAAUAAAAAAAUUCUAUUGAUUAUUAUUUGGAUAAAUAAUACAGAAGAAAAAAAAUGAUUCAUUAUAAUAAUUUUUUUAUUUAUUACUUUUUAUUAUUUGUAAUUUUAGAAUAUUUUUGGAUUAUGAUAUGUUUGUUAUUAUUCAGUCUCAAAAUUACUGUUAUAUCAAUAAUUUUUAAUCAAGUGAAACAUAAAGUUAUUUUAUAAACAUGCAUUAAUGAAUUUUUUAAUCAUUGUCAAAAUUUUAGCACAUUAUCACUUUGACGAUGUAUACAUAUAAAGCUAUUAAAUAUAAAAAAUACAAUCAUAUGAAAACAUUACAUACUAAUGAAUUAUAUGUCUUUUUUGCACCAAACAAAAAGUAAUAAUAUAUUACCAUAUAAUUAUCGAAUAUAAAUUUAUUUUACCAAAAAGAGAUAAUUUUAAAAAAAUUAUAAGAAAAUUGUGAUGUAGUUUUGUUUUUUUACUAAUUUUCUAGUAUUAAUAAAACAAUUAAAUAUAAUAAUCUUUUAAUAAAAAUAAAAUUUUUUCAAUUUUCAUUUUUUUAGCUUUUUUUUUUUUUAAAUUGGAGUAUUAAAAAAAUGAAGAUUACAAGAAAAAACAAAAGUUAUUGAGUUUUCACAUAUAUAUUUUUUAAAAUUAAAAAUUUAUCCAAACAAAAAUUUUUUUUCUGUUUUCAUCAUUAUUUUUUAUUUCUCUUUCUUUUUCUUUUCCUCUCCUUAAUCCAAUCAUACAGUAAGGAUCAGGUUAAGUAGGGAGUAAGGACUAUGGACUGGAGUUGUCAACUCAGGCUGAGUCAAUUUAAGUAGUUAGUGGACUGCAUCAAGUUACCAAAUAAUCGGGAUUUAAAAUUUUGAUUUAUUAGCUUUUGUUUCAUGAUGAAAAAUCGAUGCAUUAUAAGGUUAAAUCUUAUCAUUAUUGUCUUUGGAGCACUCAGUUUGGCCUGAGUCAAUUAAGGUAGGUCAUACAGGCUCUUUUUUUUCUUUAAAGCCUUCUAUUAGCUUAUUUACAUAAAAAAAUAUCAUUCAACCUAUCUCUGCAUUUUCCUAAUCAAGUUAUGAUUAGUUCAUUAUUUUCCGCAUUCAUAAAUAUACAUGAGAAUGAAAUGUUCUUAUGAACUCAUCCAACCCUUUCAGCAAUGUUAUGUCUGACAUGAAGUACAAAAUUGGCUACAAGUUUACCUGAAAAAUAUUAUGCACGAAUUGUGUAUGUCUUGCAUUAAUUUGUCUAUCUCUCUUUGUGUAAGGUAAAGAUAAGAGUCUUGAUAAACUUCCCAUUGUAGAUUUUACAAAGCGAGGAUCAGUACCCUUCUUAGGAGAAGAUGAAUAAACAUUCCUGCUCAUAUUUGGAAGAGGAACCUCCCACCGGCAUUGCAUUGGUGUAAUCAGGACAUAGAAUCAACGAACAGUCAAUGAUAAACCAUAAUGAAACAUAUAACCAACGAAUUGCUAUAACCUAAUGGAAAAGUGGAUGAUAUGGAACUGACUUAAAAAUGAGAAACGGGGUAGCCGUCAUGGAAAGCUAAGAUUCAUAAUAGGUUAGGGAAAAAGGAUGCCUUUUAAAUGAUACAGCUGUCUAAUCUUUUAAUGUUUACUGCAGUAUUUUUUAUUUCUACAUUUCGAGUAUUUGACAAACACCUUCUACCCCUCUCUCAUGUACAUACAUCUUAUUCAUCCAAAUCUAUUUGCCAUAUUGCAGAACCGAAUUCUAAUCUUUCCAUAACAUUCUACUUAACUUCCAUCAUUUACUUCAGCGUUUUACAUUACAUGACUGUUAAUAUUAGAAAUAUUCCAAAUAUUUCCUGAUUGUUGAAACCUCAAAAUGACAUCCAAUAUCAACAUAAUUGUUCUUUGGAUUAUUAUCCAAUCCGCUGCUAGUGCAGUGCAAACGCUCCACAAGCAGGAUUGUUUGAUGCAAUGCUUCCGUUUAACAAAAUGGACAUAGAAUUAGGAAGUUAACCUAACCGCUAAGUAAGGCAUGAAAAUUGAACAACCCCUUGAAGAGCUUUUGUGUUCUAAUAUUGUUGUAUAAGAUAAUGAUGUAUAUUCUUUUAUGACUAAGUCCUAAAGGAUGAUAGGAAAAGAAUAACGAAGAAAAGUUUGAAUACAAAGUCUUGACAACUAAUGCAGAUGUCUUACACUUCCAAAGAUCCAUUUCCCAGUAAGACAGCCAGAUAGCCCAUCCGUUGGUUGCAUUUAGAAUCAUUUAUAUCAUAAGGCUUCCAUUUUACAUCCCAAGCAACUUUUCCAUUGUGAGCUAGAAAGAGGACAGCUCUUGGCAGUGCAAUGUCACCUGGAAUAGAAGAACCGGGGCUGAACUCGAACGAAUUACUAUCUAAAAGAUUAUUCGGCACAGUAGCAUCCUGCCCAGAGUUGUAACAAAUUUGUUGGUUUAUUGUCAAUGAAGAUUCUGUUUCUUCAUUUUGAGUCAAUAAUGGGAGGCAUUUACCAUCACUAAUAGUUUUUGCUCGUGCCUUACUUUUCAAUUUUCUACUUUCCACAGAUGUAUUAGGGGCUGCAUCAGAUGAAAAUGCUGCCUCUUUGUCACCUUUUUGUUUUUUAUGAUGAUUCUUAUCUGAAACAUUUUCUUGCGUAUUUCCAGGAGCGUUGUCUAUUGCAACUGGCUCAAACGAACCUUCUGGGUACUGAACAGGAAGAGGUUGGAAAGGCUCGUCAUUCUAAUUGCUGUUAGGAGAUUCACCAAUUGAUUUGUUUGUAGGUCUAGCUGUUGGCCUCUUAACCUGAUCUAGUUGAGAUUCAACUAUUGGUUUCUUUCCAGGUCUUCCUCUAGGCCUCUUUGACGAGCUCUCCCCCAUGGCCUUUGUAUUUUGAGAUCUCCGUUUUGGCUUUUUCUUUAACAGAGGAGCUUCUUCCUCAUUCACCCCAACAUUUAGCAUACACCAUAUUUGAAUGAUGCCUCUACCAGUAAGUGGGGUGCCCAUCUUGUGAUAAUAAGAUUCAGGAGGAUGAGCAGCGACAGCAAUGAACUGGGAAAAAGAAGGCAAAAAAAGAAAAAGACAAAACAAGGACAGCCUCGCAAGAUUGCAGCAUUAAGAUGGUGAUAAUUAUUAUUAAAAAUCCUACUUAUUAAGCAUGCAGGCAAUAUUUUAAACCACUGUUUCAGAACAAAUCUAGGCUUUUGUCUCUUUCAUUUGAAAUAACCAAGUAGAUAGAGGUUUGGGCUAUAAUGAUAAAUUGAAGGUGGAAUACACGAAAAAAAAAAAAAAGAAUAAAAGGUUCCCAGAAGUGGGUUAGGGAUUUGGGAGGGGAGAAGUGGGGAAGUACCUCACAUUUGACAGGACUGUUAGGAUUCUCAUGAACUCUAGGACACCAUUAAUCUAAUGCCCAAACAGACCCUCCAACAUACAUCACGAAGUCCUUGCUGCAAGAUGAUUGUACUUUAAUCAUGUCAUUCAAUAAAUGUAUAAAACAUACCAUUUUGCAGCGGUGUUGGCUUCACAAAUAAAAAUAUUUGGGUGCCCAUACACAGAUCUUAAAUAAGAGGAGCAAUAAUAACACCAAGUUCUUAUCUUAUAACAUGUAUAUGCAUCACAGAUCAACAAGAGCAAACACCAUCCAUAACAUGUUGUUCAUAAGAGUUAAAAUUUUUUAAACAAAGGAGGAAUCCUGUAGGAUAGCAGAACUUUUAUGGUCAAGAAUAAAACUAAGACCUUUUCCAAACCCACAGUACACCAUCCUUUUACCACCUAAACCCAAUAACAUUGGAAACUGAAAUUGCUCAAACCAAAAUCCAAUCUAACAUGGAUUCUGGAGAUGCAUUACUUACUCGUAGUCCUUCCUGCUGCUUCCAUAAGAAAAAAAGAAAGAAAAAAAAGAAAAAAAAAACAACAAUGAGUAUUAACAGAAUAUUAUGCUAUAACAAGUAAAAACUAUUCCAGAAGAUUUAUGCAGUCAUUGAACAUUCCUCCAUGUGAGGGACCCAAAAUAAAAAGAUUUUCUUUCACCUUGGGAACAGUUGCUGAUGAAAACUGAGGCAAGUUUAUGCCACCAGAAACAUCUUUACCCGGUGAGUCUCCUAGUUCGCUAGCAAACCCAAUGAUCCUCGGUUCAUAAUUAAAAUGCCUCCAUUCCCUAAAAGCAUGUUUAAUAGUAAAUUAAGAACUUGUACAUAUCUAUAUUGGACAGAUAAAACUAACAUAAAAAAAAAAAAAAUACCCGACGUACAUCAGCAAAGUCAAUUCAAUCGCAUUUGGAAGUUCUAAAUGCACAAAGAUGAGCAUAAAGUUACCUUAAGAAAGUGAUUGAAGAAGAGAAUCUCCGGAUAUCAGUUUCAUCGAGACCAUCAAUCUUGGGUUCUUCACAAAUCUAGAGAUUGUAUCCAUUACCCUAAAAUGUUUCUCGAUUGAAUAACCAAAUAUAGAGAACCUAACUCCAGAAUCACCAUUAAAUGGUGGUUCUUCCAUUUUUCUGUUUCUUUUUUCCUACAUGUAACACAUCUGUUCGUCAAUCACUCAAAUAUGAGACAUAUAAUGCUAGAGAAGUUUUUUUUUUUUCUGUUAGUAGGAGAACAAACGUCCGUAUAAAGGAAAGAAAGACAGCGGAAUUAGAACCUACGUCCAUAAGUCUUUUUUAAAAUCUCUUAAUCAUUACAUCAAAAGAAAAGACAUAUAAUGUUAGAGAGUUGAUUAUAAGAAAUAAAACGUAAACUAUAACUGAAUGCUAAAUUUGAUACUUUAACUUAAAAAAAAAUUCAAUUCAAAAAAUUGUUGGAGCCUAACUCUGAGUUGCAAUCAACAAUAUAACUUAAUUUAAACAAAAUAAAUGUAAUAUGGAACAUCACAUUUAAUAAUAAUUACGACGCAUUAACUUGAAAUUCUUUCUAAACCUUUUUCAUCAGUAAACUUAAGUUUUUCCCUCUUAACCAAAAACAACAAAAAAUAAAAUAAAAUAAAAUCCAUGAAUUUCACAUAUUUUUCCUCUCAAAAUUUCGUGACCCAAACAUACCAGUAGGCAACGAUAAUUAGCUCAGAUGACCUGAUUUUAUUUCAAAGCAGACAGAUAAUAUAUGUGCCUCUAAAUGAUGAAAAUUAAAGGCAUAAUAAUAUUAUAUUUAAAGACAAAUAUGAUUUAUGCCUUAAAUCCAUUAUUUUAAAAAUUAAUAUUUAUGUGUAGCUUAUUCUUUGCCUUUAAUUAUUGGUUUUGUUGUAGUGUAUAAAAAAUAAUGUAUAUUAUAAUUUGAGUUAUAAUCGACUAAGUUUGGGCUUUGAAUGCUAGUCUCAAGUUUCAAUUUACAUUUUAAAAGAACUCGAAGACGUCAAAGGAUAGAGUAUGGGGCAGGUAGAAUAUUUUUCUUUUUUAUUCUCAAAUUUUUAUAUUAUAUUAAUUCUUAUAUCUAUAUUCAAUGAGAAUUUUAAAUUUAUUCACAUUUUUACCUACGAAAAUAUUUAAUUGAUGCAAAUAAUUCUUAUACUCUUAGCUUUUUUAAAAAAUAAAUUUUACCUUUUAAUUUAUUUUAAUUUUUAUCUUACAUAUUCAUAUAAUUUUUUUAUAAAUAUAUUAAUAUAUAUUUAAAAUAAAAUAUAUGUUAAUUUUAAUUAAUCUAAAAUAAAAUUUUAUAUUAUUUAAUAAUAAAUUUAUUUACUAAAUAUAUAGGCAACGGGUACAAAAUAUGUGCUAUAUUACUUGUCUCUAUCCUUGUAUCAAAUAAAAAAUUUAAAAUCAUAUUUAUCCCAUUCUUAGAAUUUAAUACCCAUUUUAAUCCCAUUGGGUAAAAAGUUGAAUUUUCUAUCUGAUAUGGAUAAAAUUAAUAUCCUUAAAUGAGUUUAAUGUUUUACACAAAUCUAUUUAAUGGGUUUAAUAUUUUUGUUUAAACCUUCAAAAAUAUUGAAUGAGCCCUCAAAACUUGAAUGGAUAACUUGACCAUUGGAUAAAUCUAUCAAAAUAUUUAACAUUUUUAUAAAUGUAAAACAAAACAAAAACAAAAAUAAUCGUAAAUAUAAUUUGAGUUUAAAUUUAUAAAUAAUAUGGAUGGUAGUACUUACAAGAGUAAGGAUACAGUUAUAAUGGUGUAAAUUUUACAUUUUUUUUAUAUCAAAAUUAAAUUUAUGUAUUAAAAUAAUAUUUAAUCUCAACCACUUUGAUCUAAUAAUAAAAAAAAAAAAAUGUAAAACUUAUAUUAACACAAGUGGAUCGCUCAUCUUACCUAUAAUGGUAUACAAUGAAAGACUCUCUCUAAAUUUUUAAUUAUCCACUUGAUAUUUUGCAAAUAAAUUUGUUGAACUUCAAAAUUCCUUCACUGAAUAAGGAAAUAAUCCAAUUGAAUUGCAUUCAAUUUACAUUCAUUGAAUAUGAAUGGUACAACAAAACCAAGUCCUAAUCCCCAUUUCUUAUCGAAUUAACCUAUUUACUUGCCGUCAAAGACUUUUUUUGUAUUAGAAAUUUUCGAAAAGAAGUUGACAAAUUUCACAAGUAAGACAUUAAAAGACAUUAAAUAAAGAUUUAAUUGAAAAAAAUAAAAAUAAAAAAUAGAAAGACAUGAUGAUUUGUUUGGAGUAAGAUGAUGGGUUUAUAGCAUUCAAAAAUUCAGUUUGAUAAUUACUCAUGAUGACGAGUAAAAAAAAUGUUUGGUAGGUUUCUCCUUUAUAUAGUUAUCUUAUAGAAAUGUCAAGUAAUCUGUAAGCUUCCAUAUAAAGUAGGCAGGUUUCUCUUUUAUCUAGUUAUCUUAUAGAAAUGUCAAGUAAUCUGUAACCUUCCAUAUAAAGUAGGUAGGUCUCCCUUUUAUCUAGUUAUCUUAUAGAAAUGUCAAGUAAUCUAUAAACUUGCAUAUAAGGUUUUGAUUGUGAGAUUGAUAUAAUAAAUUCAAAUAAAUAAUAUAAUCAAAAUAUUCUAUUUCUAAAAUGAACCUGCCCUGUUUUAAGAGAAAUGGCCAAUUAAUUGAACUAUAGAAGGCAACCAAAUCGACUUACUCUUUUCCUUUCAUGCAUGAAUCUAAGACUAUUGCUAUCUAUAUAAGAGACUUGUGAUCAGAUCACUAACAUGCAAGUAAAUUAUAACAAUCGCUUUUAUUAUUUUUUUUAGUGAAUAUAUGAUAAGAAGUUCAUUAAAACUUCCAAUUAUUUACAAGAAGAAAUACAAAGAUAUGGCUAUGGAAAAGAGGUUUUCUCCUUUUGCAAUUUCUUAUUCAUAUUAUUGUUUCAGACAUAUAUAUAUUUCAUGAUGAUUUUACUGUUGGAUUUUCUUUUUUAGUAGUCAUCAACCUAAUUAAUAAAUAAAUAUGGAAUUGGACAGGUUCUUCUUCGGUCUUCUCAUUGCAGCUAUAGUAAGUGCAAUCAGAGCAGGUGAUGUUAGUUUUGAUAAGAAUUAUCACGUCACAUGGGGAAACUCUCAUGUGACUUCUCUAAACCAAGGAAGAGAAAUUCAUCUUUUAAUGGAUAAUACUUCAGGUUCGAUACAUGAAAACAACUAACUUAUACAUUUGCAUGCAUGUAUAAACGUAUUUAAAAAAGACACGUGCAUAUAUAUAAUCACUCGUAGCUAAACUUUUAAUAUAUGAAAAUGUAAAUUAAAAAACAAAGAAUCACUAAUGGUGGUUAUAUGAAUGCAGGGGCUGGGUUCCAGUCCAAUGUCGGGUAUGCUUCAGGGUUUUUCCAAAUGAAAAUAAAGACACCCAACAAGGAUUCUACUGGAGCUGUUACAACUUUUUAUGUACAUAUAUCUUUUUCUGUACUUUAAAAAAAAAUUCCUGUCUUCUCUAACAUGUAUUAGUUAAAGUAUAAUUUAAUGAACAUUUUGGUGGGUUGAUGGCAUGUAUGCAGUUGACCUCAAAUCCACAAAACACAGGAAACCAUGACGAGCUAGAUUUUGAGUUUUUGGGUAGCAAGGGUCCUCCUUUUACAUUGCAAACAAAUGUUUUCGCUAAUGAUAGAGGAGGCCGAGAGCAAAGGAUUCAUCUUUGGUUUGAUCCCACUGCUGAUUUUCAUACUUACGGAAUUCUUUGGAAUCAGCAUCAAAUAGUGUAAGCAAAAACUAUUCUCUUUAAACUAAUUUGAUUCUAAUUUAACUAGUUACAACAUUGCUUUGAAGUCCUUGGUUUUAUGUUUUGUGCAGGGUUCAUGCAUGGAAAUUAACAUUUCUAAUUUAAGUCUCUUAAAAAUAAUUUGAUUCUUUAACCCUAGUUUUCUUGCCUUUUCAGGUUUUAUGUGGAUAAUACACCCAUAAGAGUUUUCAAGAACAAUACAAAUAUCGGAGUAAAUUAUCCUUCACAACAAUUAGUGAUUCAAGGAAGCCUAUGGAAUGGAGAAGGUUGGGCAUCGGGUGGAAGAAAAAUUGAUUGGAGUCAAGCUCCAUUUAUAGCCAGUUUUCAAGGGUUCAACGUGGAUGGUUGUCAAUUCCACGACACUGCGACCAAAGCGCAAUGCUAUAAUUCUAACUUGUGGUGGAAUGGAAACAAAUAUUUGGAACUAGACCCUGCUCAGCACAAAGCAUUACAGUAUGCAAGAACCAAGUACAUGUUUCAAGACUACUGCACUUCUCCAAGUGGGAGGUACCAUAAAGAAUGCGGAAGUAAUAAAUAAAUGAAGAGAUAAAUAUGUAAAAAUUUCUGCUUAGUUGGAUUGUUUUAUAUGCAAUAUAUAGAUAGCAAAUAAAUUAGAAUAUUUUAAUUAAAAAAUUAUAAACAUUGGUAUUCUUAUCCUUGUACAAAAAUGGAAAUUAUCAUGUUUAUGCCCUUUAAAAAAAAAACAAAAUAAUAAAUAAACCAAACAAAUGUCAAAUUUGUUGGGUAUUUCAAUUUCAAAGUCAAUCCCAAAGUUGCUUUUCCAAUCACAAAUGAGAAUGACGUCAAGCCCAUCCUUCUGGGCCCACAAUGCGGUGCUAUAAAGGCACUUUCACGGAGUUGGGUAUCUUCUCCAUGAUGGUUGGAUCCGACAAGCCACAAUUUAUGAACUUUGUUAGAAGGAAAGGGUCGUUCAAUAAAUUGGUAAAUGAGGUAAACGAUCAAUUCAAAGCCUAUCCAAUAAAAGAUUUUAUAUUUCGUACAAAAAAAUUUAUAAAAAUACUUAGAGCACCAAAACUAAAAAGCGCACAUGAACAUGUGGAGGUUAGAAAAGUUCUUUCUUGCACUGCUGUGCAACAUGUUUGUCUUUGUUUUCCCACGCUUCCAACUUUCUCUUCUGAAGCCCAACCCGUGUUUGUUAUUUUCCAAAGAUGAACCUUUAGGUACUCUCUCUCAGCCUUGCUGUUCCAAUGUAAAAGGAGUCUCCUCCUAUAUGUAAAACGCUUAUUUGAUUUGGUUUGCCCAACCGUGUCACCCUCAAAUGAUUUUAUAUUGGUUCGGUUGGCUUUAAUUUGAUGCCUUCGGCAUAGCACAUGGAAAUCGAUUUAUUUGUGUUUAGUCAUACAUUUACCAUUCGUGAAGAAUUCAACUUUCUUGGUUGUUAUUUUAAUUUAAAGCCAAAUUAAUCUUGAGAUUGUUUCUGACGUCUGGAUUAAUUAGACUCAUACAAAUACAAUUUAUUGCGUUUGUUUGUUUCAAGAGUGAUAAAAUAGGUUUAUAUGCACCAAAAAUCAAAAUGUUUUUUUUAUAUACUCAACUUUUAUUCCUAAAGUAAAUAAUCGGUAAACUUGAUUCAAACUUUGAAAAACUGAUUUAAUUCAUUAAAUUUAAAAUCCAACCUAAUUUAAUUUGAUUAAAAAAAUCAUCGAUAUAAAUCUAUUUAACUCAAUUUUAAAAUAACUCUCAAGUUUAAAUUCAAAGUAACUUAAAAUUGAGAUGAUUUAAACUUAAAAACAAAUCAAAAUGAUUCAAUCCAAACUCACUUAAUUACCAUACCUCUUUAGGAUCUUUUGAACUUUGUGACUUCAAACUUGGGGGUUGUUAAUUCUUCAAGUUAAGGAAAAAGAAACAGAUUAAUGUGUUAGUCCUCCACAAUCAUUUGUAGUUUGAAGUUGCUUCCAAUUGUUCAAAGCAGUGCUAGAUAGAAUACGUGUAAGAGGUUUGUUGUAUGCGGAUAACAAUGAAGAAGUCAAUAGCGUGUAAGGAAGUUGGAUCAAAUGGUGAUACCUUAUACUUUUCUUUUCUUUUUUGGCUUUUUUCAUGGAUAGAUCUUAGUUGGGAAGCUGGCAGAUCAAAACAUCGAUCCCUAUAUAAACUCACUAAAUGAUAAUGCAGUCGUUACUAAAGAUAUGGAAAUGCAAUAUUUUUCCCUUGCAGCUAUGUUUACUUUCAUCAAUAUUUUUCCUUCUUGGCUGCUGCAGCCUGUUUGCAAACACUACUGAUAUUGUUAGAUUUGAUGAAAACUAUGAAAUUACAUGGGGAAGUGAUCAUGUUUUGUCUUUAAAUCAAGGAAGUGAAAUUCAGCUCUCAAUGGAUAUCUCUUCCGGUUAUCUUCUUUCUCUUCUAACACUCGCUUUAAUAGCUAUAAAUAUACAUAACAUUAUGCAUGCCUUUUUUUUUUAAAAAAGAAAAAGAAAAACAGGCAUUUAUGUUUUAUUUUGACUUAGUUGAAAAUUUUGUUACAUGGUUUAUACCAUCUUAGAGAAUCUUUUAUUUUUCUUAGAAAUCUUAAACGUCAAUAUAAUAUUUAUAUGAUACGUUUGUAGAAUAUUGAAUUUUUAAUUUUAAUAAUCAAAAUUCAAUCUUUAAUAACUUUAAAUUAAUAUAUAAAUAAAUUUAAACCCUAAUCAUUAAAAAUAAGAAUAUAAUACUAUAUUAAUAGAUAAUAUCGUUGGUAUCACUUAUAAAGGAUUGAUUUAAUCCACCGUUCUAUCUUGACGUGUGGAAUAUUGAGGUGUUUUAAAAUGUGGUGGAAUUAUAAAAAAAAAAAACCAAUUACCAAAUAAAACUUUGUGAUAUUCUUACUAUAUUUAACUUCUUCAUUUUUUUUUAUCACUAUCGUUUAUUGAAGAAAUUAUAAACAAUCAAUUACAGGAGCUGGGUUUGAGUCGAAGCUGAGUUAUGGUAGUGGAUUUUUUCAUUUGAGGAUAAAGCUACCCAAUAAGGAUUCUGCUGGAGUUGUUACUGCUUUUUACGUAAAAUAUCUUUCAUUUCUGUUUAAUUUCCUCUUGAAUUUACCAAUAUUCUUAUUGAUUAUUUGUAAUGACAAUUAACAGCUGACAUCAAAAGGCAAGAGGCAUGACGAGCUGGAUUUUGAGUUCUUGGGUAAUAGAGAAGGCAAGCCGAUUAGCUUGCAAACCAAUGUGUUCGCAGAUGGUGUUGGGAAUAGAGAGCAAAGGUUUCUUCUCUGGUUUGAUCCUACUGCAGAUUUCCACAAUUACCAAAUUCUUUGGAACCAACACCAAAUUAUGUACGAAUAAUCUCCCCUUCCCCUUUUUCUGCAUUGCAUGCCUUAAUUACUAUGAUUAUUUUCGCACCAAUAAUUCUGCAAAAAUAUAUCUUUUUGAAUUCAAAAUUUAACUCAAUUAAUUCAUGUACUUAUUUUAAAAAAUAAAAUCUAAUAAAUUUAAUAUUCAACUUUGAACAUCUAUAAAUUUUAUUUAUCGUCAAAUUAUGCUUAUCACUUACUGUAUGAUCAUAUUUAAAGCAUAUGUAUCUUUUAGUUAAAUAUGACGAGAAUCUCUUCUCAUUGCACUGAAUUGCAGACACUAUAUAUAUAACUAUAUGUAUAGGUAUAUUUAUGCAUAUGGAUUCCUGUGUUUACAGAUUCUACGUGGACGACAUCCCGAUCAGGGUGUUCAAGAACAAUGAAGAUAUUGGAGUUGUGUACCCGUCAAAGCCGAUGAAAAUAGAAGCAAGCUUGUGGGAUGGAGAUAGCUGGGCAACCGAUGGAGGCCGAACAAAGACUAAUUGGAGCAUGGCACCCUUCAAAGCCCAUUUCCAAGGAUUUGAUAUAAGUGGUUGCUCAAUAAUUCAGAACUCAAGCAAUAUUCAACAGUGUUUUUCUCCCAAUUAUUGGUGGAAUUCAGAGAAAUAUAGGAAGUUAGAUUCCAAGCAACAAGGAGAACUGCAAAAUGUAAGAAAGGAAUACAUGAACUAUGACUAUUGUUCGGAUAGGCCUAGAUACCCUGUUCCUCCUCCGGAGUGCCUUCAUCAAUAGAGUUCAUGAUCAUGGGUUAAUUUAAGUUGCUAUAUUAAAUAAUAAUGCAGCUGAUGUAAUAAAAGAAAAUGUUAAAUUGUUCCACUUUAUA
This 27906-nucleotide long non-coding RNA is filed under the name Durio zibethinus. RNAcentral's name for it is "long non-coding RNA (DZIB_LNC000536)". The record is from RNAcentral. Lineage: Eukaryota; Viridiplantae; Streptophyta; Magnoliopsida; Malvales; Malvaceae.